UUUCCGUAGGGGGUGACCUGCGGAAGGAUCAUUAUUG
Molecule: ribosomal RNA, 37 nt
Filed under: uncultured Rhizoctonia
Lineage: Eukaryota; Fungi; Basidiomycota
Description: partial 18S ribosomal RNA
Source: RNAcentral